UGGGGAAUCUUCCGCAAUGGACGAAAGUCUGACGGAGCAACGCCGCGUGUAUGAUGAAGGUCUUCGGAUUGUAAAGUACUGUCAUUGGGGAAGAACGGUUUUCUUGAAAAGAUUGAGAAGACAUGACGGUACCCAAGGAGGAAGCCCCGGCUAACUACGUGCCAGCAGCCGCGGUAAUACGUAGGGGGCAAGCGUUGUCCGGAAUUAUUGGGCGUAAAGGGCGCGUAGGCGGGCCUUUAAGUCCGGUGUGAAAGAUCAGGGCUCAACCCUGAGAGUGCAUCGGAAACUGGAGGCCUUGAGGACAGGAGAGGAAAGUGGAAUUCCACGUGUAGCGGUGAAAUGCGUAGAUAUGUGGAGGAACACCAGUGGCGAAGGCGACUUUCUGGACUGUAACUGACGCUGAGGCGCGAAAGCGUGGGGAGCAAACAGGAUUAGAUACCCUGGUAGUCCACGCCGUAAACGAUGAGUGCUAGGUGUAGAGGGUAUCGACCCCGUUCUGUGCCGCAGUUAACACAAUAAGCACUCCGCCUGGGGAGUACGGCCGCAAGGUUGAAACUUGAAAGGAAUUGACGGGGUCAUAGCUG
Molecule: ribosomal RNA, 584 nt
Filed under: uncultured bacterium
Lineage: Bacteria
Description: partial 16S ribosomal RNA
Rfam family: Bacterial small subunit ribosomal RNA
Source: RNAcentral